GGGGGGGAGAGCUAGGUCUACGCUGGAGAGAGGGCGAGGCGGCGGCGGGGAUGACGAGGCGGCGGCGGGGGAGCUAGACAAAGGACACCGGUCUAGGCCGGCCCCCUCGGUGGCAUCUCGGAGGUGCAGCAGCCUCGUCUCGUCGGGCUCCACACACAGCUAGAGCAGGGCGUCUAGCGGCCGCCCCGGUGCUGGUGGAGUAAGUGACAGCGCCACCACGAAGAGGGACGCAGCGGUAGCAACCAAGCGGAGUGGGAGGAGUGGGGCAGCCGACGUUGGCGAGGAUGGGAGGUACCACGAGGAGAAGCCGUAGGUGGCGUCCGGUCACUCGCCGGUGCUAGUCCCUCCGGAGAUGGAGCUGACGUUGGCCAGUACCAGCAGAGACGCGGCGGCGGGGGAGCGUAGCGUGGCAACGGAGCACAUCCUGAUGCUCGUACCCUGCGAGCCAGCUCCAAAAGAACAGAGCAGUCCUAAGAGCACGACGUUUAAAUCAUUGCCCCGUUUGAAAACCCACAGGAUUAAACAAACGCCUAACUACUCUUAAACCGCUCCCUCUAGUAUUUGGUGGCGAGCGACGCCGUGUAGUUAACAACUUAAGCGAACUUCCUCCACAGAAAGGAGAGACAAGGGAACUCAGUUAGUGGUACUAAAUUGUAGCUCUACUACAAAGAAGAAGUUGUCCCUACUGCUUGUUGUACCUUGUUCCUCCUUGAAAUGUAGCUCUGUUACAAAGGAGAGAUGGUAAGAGAAAGGAAAGGCUCGGCAAGUGUUAGCAAUCUCUCCACCUGUAACUAACCCUCCCUCCCAUUCUCCGGAGUCUAGCACCUAGGAGAAACUAGGUCUGGAGGAGCUGCGGAACGCGCGGCAGUAGAUGCGUAUGUGGGUGCGCGAGCCCACGCUUCACAGGUGUGUACGCGGGCUGACCCUACUCGAGCCGUACGAAGACGGCCCGGUUUGCCGCGGUACGGGGACAACAACACCUGGACACCACCAUGUAGUCGCUUCUACUACUACUCCACCGCGGUGGGCUACGAGGUAGUGCGGAACGCGUCCCCACGUUCGUUCCACCGGAUCAAGUAGUACACACCGCGUACCCCACUAGCCGACCAACGGUAACCGAGAUACUUGUACCGGGCUGGCGACGGUAGUGACACUUGGCGUACAACAAGGAGUCUACGUUGUUUUUACUGAAGAACCCAAGUGACAUGAAAGAUUUGCCAACAUUGAAAAAAACGAAGACUUCACAGUAUCCUAUGGUUUUUAGACCUACUAUAUAAUCAGUGGAUGUCAGAAACUGUUCUUAACUAGGUUUCCUGCUUUUGAAUAUUUAAGGAGUUCGUGUAUUUGAUGUCCUUCAACCUUCGUCUCUUUUACCUAACCCUGUUCCUCGGUCUGUCUCCUACUCCUCCCCGAGUCGCCUUGUUUACCGGUUCCUCUUUUUUCAUCGAUAGCGGUGUUCGUAGUUCUAUACACCCGAAGUACAUUGAGUACGAAGGAUGGUUAUACAAAAAGUAUUAAAGGUAACUUGUGGAGUUUACUAGACUCGAACAGACAAUAAAAAACGACUUGUCAGGUGAGGCGUGGUGUACUCUUUAGAUGUAUAAAAAAAACAAUAUUAGUCUAAAUAAGAGAUCGGUUCUUAAUACUGAUUAAAGAGUCCGGACUUCUUGGUCAUAUAUUAGUAUCAAAGAAUUAAUCAAUCCCUACAAAGCCGUUAACAAAAAUGGUGGUGAUAAUUAGUGUUACAAGACAAACAACAUCCGUAGUAAAUGAUAGGAUGUAUUAUGUAGCCAUUCAACUCCACACAGACUCAUCGGAAGCGAUAGGUUUAUCAAAUAUUAGGAAAAUACGUAGAACAACACUCUGACAAUAAAAGAAUUAAAUAAUUACGAACUACCAAGAACGCCCGUACCGAUAAUGCCUUCUAUACUAGUCUGUAUACUCAGUUCUAUCACUCCCUCAUUAUCAAGAACGUAUACUUUCACCUUGGAACAUCGUACACCCAAACAUUUUUAUCAGUAAUACUCUUACGGACGUUUACAAGUACUAAUUGUAUAAACGUAUAAAACUACUUUACACUAGGAACUUUGAUAACACGUGCCGGAAACAAACAUCCUUAUAGAUCCCACCUGUUUACUGACCGAAGUUUCGUGGUAUUGUUGAAAGGAACGUAUUUCUUUGGUGUGGAGGAUUUUAUUACCUGUAGACGUCGUCGUUUUAUUGACAACUAGUAAUAAUAAAGGAGGUUUUAUCAACGAGUAAUAAAUUGAAGGAUUGAACUUUUUAUGCUGUCCUGAACUACUUUGACUAGAACGAAUGUUUAAACUGAGUUUUCAAAACAAGACGUAAAACAUCCUGUUUAUUCUGUCACAAAUUAAUCCACCUGUAUUAUAUGAACCACGAAAAAAAACGCCCUAUUAUAUGAACCACGACUAGAAAGAUCUUGCAAAUCGUUAAAUCACAAUAAAAGUGUCUAUUUUUCUCUUGGUUGACCGAUCGGAUAUGUUAAAACCACUGUGCUGUUUAAUUUCAUGAUUCCGCUGUUCCAUAUACGGGCUAUAUGACGUUAAAGACGUUCAAAUGGUCUUAUACACUUAACCUGUUAGUUAAUCUAGGUUCUGUUCUACAGAUGAAAGCUUUGAUGACAAACCUUAAGUUUAUAAAUUUCGUUAAUCCUUAAUUUUAAAGACAAGUAAGUAGGUCUACAGAUGCCUAGUUAAAUAGUUUGGUGAUUACUUUUGCUCCCCCACUAUUCCCUGUAGCUUGUGUUUAUAAUUUCUUAGGGUAACUCGAUACCCUUGACGCCGUUACUUGCUGCCCCUUCGGUAUCUACGUGUAGCUGGAUACCAACAGGGAAGAAGGCGUUACCGGUCGAUGGAGCCGAGCCACCAUUGCGCCCGGGCGAGACGCCCUCGUCCCUCCUGAUCCGUCGUCACUGUCUCCCGGGACGCGAGGACUGGGCACUUCAAAUAGAGGUCACAACCAACUAGAAAUCAAAUAAGGGUCGACGUUUAAAAUGACUUUACUUGGUGUUAUGUCUACCAAAUCCGGGACAAACCUACUGUCGGUCACCGACGGGAAGGUUUUAUAACCAGCCGUCCGACCGCACACAAACCAAGUGCCGGUUUUAAAGCCUAGAGUUGGUUAAUAAACCAAUGGGCACAAUAAGACGUCGUCGCACGCCCGCUCAAGGGCCGCCGUGUAAGGGAACAAAACCGCUCCGACCGAACCCGUGGUAGGUUUGUCGGGGAAUGAGGGAAUAAUAAAGGAACCUCACCGCAUGUAAAUGGAAACGUUAACCCUUCGUUCUAGACUUUCAAGUCAAAGUCAAAACACCAUGUUCGAACUUUGUAACCGUAUAUCAUAACAGAAUAUUUUCUAAUCUACGAGGGCGAAAGUCUCUCGACUAGUAUGUAUAGAACGAACUAAACUACAACGAGACACAAUAAUACAUGCAGAGCCGGCUUUAAUUAUCCUUCCUCUCCGUGAGGUUCUCUAGCAUACAUUCAUGUUUAGGAUAUCGAUAAAACAAAUGGAAUCCUCGUCAUGGUUAGACCUUUGUACAAAGAUUAGCUCAUUUUGAACUUUGUACAUACCUACCUAUUUAAAAUCAUAAACUAGGAAAAUAACUUUUUAGUAUAUUGAAUGCUAGAAUACCUCAAAUCUCUACGAAUAGGACAAGAAAUACCGAAUUUAAGGUAGUUAUCAAGACAUUAUAUCAAAACGGGUCUAUCCUACGUAAUAUACUUUUAUUCUACAUACGUUUUUGAAACGUCAUUCACGAAGAUAUAACCUCCUUCGGUUUUACUAUCUCUUGAGUUUGCGAACCCCAUAUCUCUAGUCUAUUCUAAAUGAAGAAACAACAACAAAACGAAACAAAUGUGACCAGAGUGGUUUAUAAUACUCGAAAAAAAUCGAGCAUAACCCAGGCACACACUUCUCACUUUCUGAAAUCGAACGAUUAAAUAAAAAUGUAGACAAGUAAUCCUGGAGUAGUUUCCACUAAUACUACGUACUAAUUGUACUAAAUAUCUCUAGACAAACCUCGAAUCAUCCGGACUUGUGCGAGUGCAAGUAAUUCUACUAAAACCUUGCACGAAAGGAGAGCUACUGUGGUAAAAAGGCGAUCGUUACGUGCGUCUCGGGACUCGGGACGUACCAACCAGCACCGUAGGAACCACUGUCGAGUAAUCCUGGAGUGGUUUCCACUGCUGCUACACCGAACGGUACCGUAGCGGCCGCUUCCUCGCGUGGCCACGCCCUGCAGCGUCAGUGAUCUCUACUGCCGUCCCAAAUCUCCCAAACGGCCGCUGUCUCCACGGCUGAGCCCAUCCCCGGCUACUCCAUCACACACUGUUGUGAACGACCAGCACCUACCACCACCCUUCACCAACCCGUCCAUAUCCACCCACCCAACAAUCUCACCUGCUUCUUUUUCCAUCCGCCGUCCUCCUUCUCUUAUCAUCGAUGUUGUCCAACAGCGGCCACAUCCUCUCCGCGCCCCCCAAUUGUCUGAACUCACACCCCACGUACUACAGCGCCCGUGAUAUUUACUAAUACCCUCUCCACUCGCCCAACACCUGCUUUUUUUCGUCGCUACUCUCCUUCUUCUUCUUGGCCAUCGUCUCCACCCAGCAGUAACCGCCUAUUCUCCAUCCCCUAAUUACCUAAGCUCACGUCCCAUAUACUCCAGAGUCCACUGAGGCACUGCCUCUACUGCCGACGUAAAUUUCCCUACCGGCCACGUAGUACAACAUCAUAAAACAAACGUGUUAGGUAGGGCUCUUUUGUAUAUUUAUUUUCUUUAACCAAUUUAAUACAAUCUUUAUGGAUAAACCCACCUCUAUAUUCCUUCUGACGUAGAGUACUGUCAACGAAAGGAAACAGCUAUAACAUCGUAUUCUUAUGUUUAAUAAAUGUGAACGGACGUCGAGUACUUACCAACCAACAAUAAGGAAACUGGUACUAUAACAAUAAUGAAUUUACAAGAUUAUAUAACAUGUUUCGAAGGUAAAUACAGAAGUCUUUUUAGUGGCUAUUUUUUUUCUCGAGAGUUUAUAUAUAAAAUCGAGUAAUCUAGUCAACAUCUUUAGUACACGGUAAAAAUACAAGUACAGUAGUAAACUAAUAUAAACGGUAUUGAGCUGAACCGCGAGAAGUUGUAUGUGAUGUUCCAGAGAUUAAAGAGACUUAUGAGAAAUGUUAAGAAUUACGUUAGGAAAGUCGCCCUAUUUUUAUAUAAAUGAGUUUACUACGGAUAGCAGCGAUGUGUUUUAUAGUAAUGAAAAGUGAGAAUUCCUCUAUGAAAUUGGUUGAUAAGGAUCUUAAAAUUAUACCCUAUACGUAAGAAGAAAACAACUAUAGAAAAUAAUACAACUAUGCAGACUAAGCCACCUGAUCGUAUCGUUUACAUUUACACUUACACUUCCACCUAAGGUAGUUUAACAGAUACGUCCAAUCACAACAGGGACUACGAAAUAUGUCUGCACAAGUUUAUAGAAAGUAACCUGUCUGGAGACUGCACUAGUAUAACGAUAAAAGUAGAAAACCUAAACGUAUAUUACAACUGUGGUGUACACUUAGACUUCGGUGAACACGAUUCGUAAGGGACCAAACGGUCGAACACACAAAGUGAUUACCUCUUCCAUACUUAGACAAAGAAAUUACACGUCCACACGUGUGUGGAAGGUAGUGAUUACCUCAACUUACACUGGCCCCAGCGCGACGAUUUCGUGACGUAGAAGACGCCACGUGCACCCCUGAUCUACAUAGUUAUCACUACUUCGUUCCACUCACCCUCGAGAUCUUAAAGUACAAUUAAACUCGACAACUGACCCGGCAAAGACAACAACUUAAUGAUCUAAUCCAAGACCACAGAACCAGACGUCCGCACGCACUCGAGACCGUACCUCUCGAAGUAUUCACAGAAACUCACGUGACCUACCCUCUCAAUACAAUGAGCGAGUGGGUACCUCAAGAGGUUUUAACAGACAACGAAGGAUGAGAGGCCCUAGUAGAAAUUGACUAAAUUAAACAGGGUUCAACACCAUUAAGUCCUCUCUCUGUUGCAGCAGUACAACCAGCGACUCGUUCGUCUAGUCUCGUGUUUGUGCCCUCAAUAGGCUGUUGUUGCUGCUGGUGCUGUAGCAAGGUGAAUCUGAAUCUCCGUUCUCGUUACUAAGGUGGCCGUCGUCUCUAGUUGUUCAAGAAGAGGUAGCCUCUCAUUUACGAAGUGGCGGUUGAUUCACUGUUGAAUUGAUUUUCUUCAUGUUUAACCUGUAGUACACUCCGCACUGCGAGUUUAGGCCGUUCCUUCUAACGCCGGCACGUGCAUCUUACCUUUUCCACGGGUGUGUUACUUUUGUUCAGACCUUUUCCUCCAAUCGACUAAUUAGUGUCUGUAUUGCGUUCUCAAUACCAUGUCUCUUUCUUGAAGAAGUAAGUCCUAAUGUGCACAGUACACAGUAUCUGGUCGUAACCUCCGUUCCCUAGUGAACAUGAAGCAUACGGGAAAACGUUUUGAGACAACCGUUAUACAAACAGGAAGUACCUUGGGAGGGAUGACCCUGUCUAUAAGUUCUGCUUCAACGGGUAGCGUUUGUCAACGAUUUAGACGGAAAACGGUACCUGUAAUAAUAUGACUAGAGUACCCGUUAAACCUGGUGUUCCUUGCUGAAGUAGAAGUUCGUGUAAGGAGGUUUAGAGAUAUUAACGUCCGCAGCUAAAUUCCUCCUUCAUUUUACCAAAUGGAUGUGCCGAUUCUCUUUCCUCGAGUGACCGGAGUACCUAACCCAAGUCCAAAAGUCUAUGUUGUGAGCUAUCGAAACAACAUACACAACAUAAAAGACGGAAACAAACAAAACGAAAAACAUGAAAGGAAAACCAACAUACCUAAUAAAAACAAAACUUGGAGUGGUAGAUGAGGGAAACAGGCUUUUUCGAACAGGGUUCGAACAGGUAGUUUACUUACAUAGAUCGUCAUUAAACCACGAUCUAUGUAGGUAAGCUCCCUGUGUGAAAAAGCCUACCUCCCUCAUGUAGAAUAAACUUUUAGUUAUUUUUUUUGUGACAAAGGG
RNAcentral lists this ribosomal RNA (7076 nucleotides) under Triticum aestivum (bread wheat). RNAcentral describes it as "partial small subunit ribosomal RNA". The record is from RNAcentral. Lineage: Eukaryota; Viridiplantae; Streptophyta; Magnoliopsida; Poales; Poaceae.